GUGAGUCAUCGAAUCUUUGAACGCACAUUGCGCCCUGUGGUAUUCCGCAGGGCAUGCCUGUUCGAGCGUCAUUUCAACCCUCAAGCUCCGCUUGGUGUUGGGCCCCGCCCGCUCGCGGCCGGCCCCAAAGGCAGUGGCGGCGCCGUCUGGCUGCUCUAAGCGUAGUACAUCUCUCGCUCUAGGGCCCGGCGGUGGCUUGCCAGAACCCCAAACUCUGUGGUUGACCUCGGAUCAGGUAGGGAUACCCGCUGAACUUAAGCAUAUCAAUAAGCGGAGGA
RNAcentral lists this unclassified non-coding RNA (278 nucleotides) under Oidiodendron sp. RNAcentral's name for it is "partial contains 5.8S ribosomal RNA, internal transcribed spacer 2, and large subunit ribosomal RNA". The stretch from base 1 to 71 matches the Rfam family "5.8S ribosomal RNA", at positions 84 to 154 of the family's 154-position model. The record is from RNAcentral. Lineage: Eukaryota; Fungi; Ascomycota; Leotiomycetes; Myxotrichaceae.